This 329-nucleotide ribosomal RNA is filed under the name uncultured eukaryote. RNAcentral describes it as "partial 18S ribosomal RNA". It matches the Rfam family "Eukaryotic small subunit ribosomal RNA", at positions 1470 to 1796 of the family's 1831-position model. The record is from RNAcentral.
CCCUUAGAUGUCCUGGGCCGCACGCGCGCUACACUGAGUGUCUGAGAUACGAGUCUGCCUGGUCCGGCAAGGUCUAGGUAGUCGCUAAAAGACACAUCAUGCUUGGGAUAGAUUAUUGCAAAUAUUAAUCUUGAACGAGGAAUUCCUAGUAAGCGCAAGUCAACAGCUUGCGUUGAUUACGUCCCUGCCCUUUGUACACACCGCCCGUCGCUACUACUGAUUGGAUGUUUAAGCGAGGUUCUCGAACUGCUAGCGACUUAGCUUCGGUGAGGUCGCAGUGUGGGAAGUGAACCUAGCUUUGGUGUCUAGAGGAAGUAAAAGUCGUAACA